Molecule: long non-coding RNA, 755 nt
Organism: Gasterosteus aculeatus aculeatus (three-spined stickleback)
Lineage: Eukaryota; Metazoa; Chordata; Actinopteri; Perciformes; Gasterosteidae
Source: Ensembl
CUAACUUUUAUGUGAAAUGGCGGAAGUCUUUUUUUUUUGGUAAACUGAGAACGAGAGAAACUCGUGCAGAACAACACAGUUAACUGAAGAUAUUUCGAUCUCUUUUUACUAUAAUAUUUAAUGUGUGACGACAGUUAACAGCACAAAGCUCGGUACAGUAAACAGUAACUUCGGCUCUAAUGUCCGGUCACGUUACAAGAUGUCUACGAUUAAAACAACGGCCGUUACGCGGCUUCACCGGGGCUUAUACAGGAUUUAUACCGGGCUUCACCAGGGCUUCACCGGGGCUUCACCAGGGUUUAUAACGGGGUUCACUAGGGCUUCACCAGGUCUAUCCAGGGCUUCACCAGGCCUUCACCGGGGCUUCACCAGGGUUUAUAACGGGCUUCACCAGGCCUUCACCAUGGCUUCACCAGGUCUUAUCCAGGGCUUCACCAGGGUUUAUAACGGGCUUCACCAGGCCUUCACCAUGGCUUCACCAGGUCUUAUCCAGGGCUUCACCAGUGUUUACCCAGGGCUUCAAUAUGGCUUCAAUAGGGCUUCACCAGGGUUUUACCAGGGCUUCACCAGGCCUUCACCAGGCCUUCACCAGGCCUUCAUCAGGGCUCUUUCCAGUGAUACCGACUGUUGUUGGAUGUUAUAAGCAUGUUAUAACUAGUGCAUGCACAGCUGUACAUGAGGACUACCCGAGUAAACAGAAGAAAGGUGUUAUUACGAACUGUACCUAGAAGUUCACAUAAGAGUAGCUAUUCACC